Molecule: ribosomal RNA, 480 nt
Filed under: uncultured bacterium
Lineage: Bacteria
Description: partial 16S ribosomal RNA
Rfam family: Bacterial small subunit ribosomal RNA
Source: RNAcentral
ACGCACGUUGGCGGCGUGCUUAAUACAUGCAAGUCAACUGAAGCAGUGGUAGCAAUCUCGCUGUGGAGGUGGCGCACGGGUGAGUAACACGUAGGUAAUCUGCCUUCAGGUCUGGCAUAACUCCGGGAAACCGGGGCUAAUAGCAGAUGAUGCAGCGGCUCGACAUCGAGACAGUUGUUAAAGCUAUGGCGCCUGAAGAUGAGCCUGCGUCUGAUUAGCUAGUUGGCGGGGUAACGGCCCACCAAGGCAACGAUCAGUAGCUGGUCUGAGAGGAUGAUCAGCCACACUGGAACUGAGACACGGUCCAGACUCCUACGGGAGGCAGCAGUAAGGAAUAUUGCUCAAUGGGAGAAAUCCUGAAGCAGCAACGCCGCGUGAGGGACGAAGGGCUUUUGCUUGUAAACCUCUGUAGUGAGAGAAAAAAAUCCCAAUCUUUGGGACAUGAUGGUAGCUCAAAAGUAAGCCCCGGCUAACUACGUG